AGUUGGAAUCGCUAGUAAUCGCGAAUCAGCAAUGUCGCGGUGAAUACGUUCUCGGGUCUUGUACACACCGCCCGUCACACCACGAGAGUUGGUUGCACCUGAAGUAGCAGGCCUAACCGUAAGGAGGGAUGCUCCGAGGGUGUGAUUAGCGAUUGGGGUGAAGUCGUAACAAGGUAUCCGUACGGGAACGUGCGGAUGGAUCACCUCCUUUCUAAGGAGA
This 220-nucleotide ribosomal RNA is filed under the name Actinomyces graevenitzii. RNAcentral describes it as "partial 16S ribosomal RNA". It matches the Rfam family "Bacterial small subunit ribosomal RNA", at positions 1324 to 1533 of the family's 1533-position model. The record is from RNAcentral. Lineage: Bacteria; Bacillati; Actinomycetota; Actinomycetes; Actinomycetales; Actinomycetaceae.